AGAUUGAACGCUGGCUGCAGGCCUAACACAUGCAAGUCGAGCGGCAGCACGGGUACUUGUACCUGGUGGCGAGCGGCGGGCGGGUGAGUAAUGCCUAGGAAUCUGCCUGGUAGUGGGGGAUAACGCUCGGAAACGGACGCUAAUACCGCAUACGUCCUACGGGAGAAAGCAGGGGACCUUCGGGCCUUGCGCUAUCAGAUGAGCCUAGGUCGGAUUAGCUAGUUGGUGAGGUAAUGGCUCACCAAAGGCGACGAUCCGUAACUGGUCUGAGAGGAUGAUCAGCCACACUGGGACUGAGACACGGCCCAGAC
Molecule: ribosomal RNA, 311 nt
Filed under: uncultured soil bacterium
Lineage: Bacteria
Description: bacterial SSU rRNA
Rfam family: Bacterial small subunit ribosomal RNA
Source: RNAcentral